UGUUGGUAGAGGUUAAUUCAUUUUCUUUCUAAAAGUAUUUAGUCAAGUGAUAUUUGCUUGUGCUAGUAAUCAUGAAGAAGCACUGCAAUCAAAUAACACUAAUUUGAGCACAUUAGUUCAGAUAAGCACAUGAUAAAAUAAAGGGAACAAACCCACAGCACUGAAACAAACAAAUAUGUUGAGUUUGCUUCACUGGAUCCAAAGUCAGCCUGUCUGACCUGACAGCCCCUGUCCUUCAGGUCAACGCGUUCGGCAAGGGGCAGUGUUCACAGGGGAGGGGAGGGGAAGGGAAGGGAAGGCCAGACACCCCUGCAGCCGAAGGCACGGGGGGACAAAGGGAUGCUCCGCUGCAGCAUUACCUGAUAACCCAGGUCAUUUCCCCGUGGUCUGUCUGAAUGCAAGUGUAGCCGGUGCAGAAGGCAGUCAUGCUCCUCUUGCUGUGUGUGUUGUGCUGUUCUCUUCCUUUUCCUCUCUCCAGAAAGCACCAGGACCUUGCCGAAACUCCUCCUGUAACUGCCUCCAGAAGCUGUUCAGUGGCGCUGGAUGGAAGCGGCUGAGCCAGCAAGUCAGAGGGAGGCACAGGGAAGCAGGAGCUGGGAGGAGAAACGGGGAAGUAGGAGCCGGGAAGGGCCUUUCUGCAUAUGGCUGGUGUUGUUGCCCUGAACGAGUACUUAAGGAAAGUACAGGAAUAAAAUCAAUGCAUGGAGACUUUUUUUCCCUCUGGGGAUUUAAUAUCAUCGUGGAACCUCUUCCAGCUCAGCUGAAAGAAUCAGGUAGAACAAGGUCUCUUUUUUCUUUGGAUCUGAUGAGUCUUGCUCCUGGCAUCUCUUCCAGGACUAUGUCUGUACCGAAGAUUCACCUGUUCCUGUUGCUGGGUGAUUGUGCUCACUCCCCUGCGCAGAGAACACUGAAACAGACAUGCAGUGAUACGGUUCCUGGCAUAUCCUGCAUCCAGGAUAAACAUGAACAUAUGGUGCCAAGGAAGUUUGUUGCGGGCCCGAGAUGAAGAUAAACACUACAAGCUGUUAUUUCAGAAGGGUAGCAUAGGAUGAAGAUUGUUGUAAAGAAAACAAAUAGUGUUACAGAAACAAAAAUUGGAUUCAUACUGACAUCUGUCAGGGCUUCUUGGCUCACCCGAAGAGGCUGCUUGAGCUGCGAGUCCCCGUUAGUCCUGCUGCAGCUGUAGGUCACCUCGCAUUCUUCCUCACACAUGGGUGUGGGACACGAUAAAUUGCACGGAGGGCUGGGGCACUCUCAUGGAAAUUAAUCUUUUGUCGGCUGCCAGCUUGGGGCAAUGGCAGAGUCUGAUUUAGCUCCCAGUUUGGACAGGGAAAUGCAACAUAAUAAGAAAUACAUCAUCUGUUAGCCUGCACUGCCUUGUUGAGCACUAGUUAGCAAUCAGAGAAAGCCCGUCUGUUCCUGGUGGCCCUUCUAGAUUCUAGUCAUCUCAUGACUUUCCUUUCUGAGAUGUCUGUUAUCUUUAAGUAAAAGAAAACGUGUUCCAUGCCCCCACCUAGUUCCCAAAGAAACAGAAUGGAUGCAUGGAUUUUUUUUUUUGUAGACUUUAUCUCCUGUCGGUAGAGCAGUGUUUGAUCUUGCAGAGUGAAGGUGGUGGCCUUCCUGGUGAAGGCAUGCAGAAUGCAUUUUGGGGACCCUGUGGUAGGGUAGGAACUAA
RNAcentral lists this long non-coding RNA (1675 nucleotides) under Anser brachyrhynchus (Pink-footed goose). Its description in RNAcentral is "lncRNA (ENSABRG00000018117.1)". Lineage: Eukaryota; Metazoa; Chordata; Aves; Anseriformes; Anatidae. The record is from RNAcentral.